Molecule: signal recognition particle RNA, 298 nt
Filed under: Cebus imitator (Panamanian white-faced capuchin)
Lineage: Eukaryota; Metazoa; Chordata; Mammalia; Primates; Cebidae
Description: Metazoan signal recognition particle RNA (ENSCCAG00000002375.1)
Rfam family: Metazoan signal recognition particle RNA
About the family: The signal recognition particle (SRP) is a universally conserved ribonucleoprotein.
Source: RNAcentral
GCCAGGCACAGUGGUGAGUGCCUGUAGUCCUAGCUACUCGGGAGGCUGAGGUGGGAGGAUCGCUUGAGCCCAGGAGUUCUGGGCUGUAGUGUGCUAUGCCAAUCGGGUGUCUGCACUAAGUUCGGCAUCAAUAUGGUGACCUCCCGGGAACAGGGACCACCAGGUUGCCUAAGGAGGAGUGAACUGGCCCAGGUCGGAAACGGAGCAGGUCAAAACUCCUGUGCUGAUCAGUAGUGGGAUUACGCCUGUGAAUAGCCACUGUACUCUAGCCGGGGCAACAUAACAAGACCCCAUCUCU